This 468-nucleotide ribosomal RNA is filed under the name uncultured bacterium. RNAcentral describes it as "partial 16S ribosomal RNA". It matches the Rfam family "Bacterial small subunit ribosomal RNA", at positions 28 to 507 of the family's 1533-position model. The record is from RNAcentral.
GACGAACGCUGGCGGCGUGCUUAACACAUGCAAGUCGAACGGUGAAGCUCCAGCUUGCUGGAGUGGAUCAGUGGCGAACGGGUGAGUAACACGUGAGCAACCUGCCCCUGACUCUGGAAUAAGCGCUGGAAACGGCGUCUAAUACUGGAUACGAGAAGGGUCCGCAUGGGGACUUUCUGGAAAGUUUUGCGGUUGGGGAUGGGCUCGCGGCCUAUCAGCUUGUUGGUGAGGUAAUGGCUCACCAAGGCGAUGACGGGUAGCCGGCCUGAGAGGGCGACCGGCCACACUGGGACUGAGACACGGCCCAGACUCCUACGGGAGGCAGCAGUGGGGAAUAUUGCACAAUGGGCGGAAGCCUGAUGCAGCGACGCCGCGUGAGGGAUGACGGCCUUCGGGUUGUAAACCUCUUUCAGCAGGGAAGAAGCGAAAGUGACGGUACCUGCAGAAGAAGCACCGGCUAACUACGUG